Molecule: ribosomal RNA, 491 nt
Filed under: uncultured bacterium
Lineage: Bacteria
Description: bacterial SSU rRNA
Rfam family: Bacterial small subunit ribosomal RNA
Source: RNAcentral
AGUGAACGCUGGCGGCAUGCCUAACACAUGCAAGUCGAACGGGUUUCGGCAGUUUAUCGCCGGAAUUAGUGGCAGACGGGUGAGUAAUACAUGGACAAUCUGCCCUCAAGAAGGGGAUAACCCGGGAAACCGGGGCUAAUACCGCAUGAGGCCACAAUCCCGCAUGGGGAAGAGGUUAAAGCUCCGCAAGGGGCGCUUGAGGACGAGUCUAUGGCCUAUCAGCUUGUUGGCGGGGUAACGGCCCACCAAGGCUACGACGGGUAGCCGGUCUGAAAGGACGACCGGCCACAAUGGCACUGAGACACGGGCCAUACUCCUACGGGAGGCAGCAGUGGGGAAUUUUGCUCAAUGGGCGCAAGCCUGAAGCAGCGAUGCCGCGUGGAGGACGAAGGUCUUCGGAUUGUAAACUCCUUUUGCGAGGGAAAAUGCCUGCGUGAAUAACGCAGGUUGAUGGUACCUCGCGAAUAAGCCACGGCUAACUUCGUGCCAGC